CAGCACCUCAAGUGGUCAGGAUGAUUAUUGGGCCUAAAGCAUCCGUAGCCGGCGCUGUAAGUUUUCGGUUAAAUCUGUACGCUCAACGUACAGGCUGCCGGGAAUACUGCAGCGCUAGGGAGUGGGAGAGGUAGACGGUACUCGGUAGGAAGGGGUAAAAUCCUUUGAUCUAUUGAUGACCACCUGUGGCGAAGGCGGUCGACCAGAACACGUCCGACGGUGAGGGAUGAAAGCUGGGGGAGCAGACCGGAUUAGAGACCCGAGUAGUCC
RNAcentral lists this ribosomal RNA (270 nucleotides) under uncultured archaeon. RNAcentral describes it as "partial 16S ribosomal RNA". It matches the Rfam family "Archaeal small subunit ribosomal RNA", at positions 477 to 747 of the family's 1478-position model. The record is from RNAcentral.